Loxodonta africana (African savanna elephant) is the source of this 71-nucleotide transfer RNA. It matches the Rfam family "tRNA". From Rfam's summary of the family: Transfer RNA (tRNA) molecules are approximately 80 nucleotides in length. NCBI's taxonomy places the organism in Eukaryota, Metazoa, Chordata, Mammalia, Proboscidea, Elephantidae. The record is from Rfam.
AUAUUGGUGGUUCAGUGGUAGAAUUCCUGCCUUCCAAGCAGGAGGCCUGGGUUCGAUUCCCAGCCAAUGCA